Long non-coding RNA from Neopsephotus bourkii (Bourke's parrot), 1448 nucleotides. RefSeq lists it as uncharacterized. The record is from RefSeq and is a predicted model, not a curated record. NCBI's taxonomy places the organism in Eukaryota, Metazoa, Chordata, Aves, Psittaciformes, Psittacidae. The transcript is spliced from 2 exons.
UCCGCGACAGCGUGGCUCCAUGAGCCAGCGCCCUGCGUGACUAGAAGGCACUUAAUUAAGAGCCUAGGACUCCCUAGCCAUAGUAACUGUGUACAGGUGUGGAACAACAGCUUCCAGCUGGUUGUCCGCUGUGCAGAAGUUUUCAUGCACUGAUUGGACGGGUGGAAAGCACUGGCUGUAUGUGCCAUGUCUGGUGUCAGGGCAUUGGGCUACGCAUUAACUCACAGUAAAAAUAGUGGAGGAAAUCAAGUCAUCAAGACUAUUGUGAUCAUUGUUAGAUGAUCACGCCUGUUGAAGUGGAGCACGUAGAUGAGGCUGCUGACAGAUCUCAUUUAGCUCCUAAAUCAGGAAUUACAAGAUUCUUCUGGCUCCACAAGUUAAGAGAUAGCAUGGCUGUUGCUUAACAGCAAUUUUCAAAUUCUCUUUCUUCAGGAAAAUCUCUUCCCCUGCUUCAUUACUGUUUUGUAAGUUACUUAUAGACACUGCUCACUUAACUACUGUCAAUACCUUUGUCAAUUUAGAGAGCAUAUAAGAAAUAAUCCUGUCAAGAAUAAGCCCAGUCACGAAGAGCCUGUAGUCACACAGGGGUGUGUAAGCUUCUGCGACUGUGCUGAGGUUCAACUGAAGAGUCACCCUCCAGUGUAAAAUUUGAGGAGUGCCUAUAGAGGUCAACAGUUGUAAAUGUAUGAAAGCAUGUAUAUAUCCUUUUGCUCAACAGUAGCAAACUUUGGAAUCUCGCAGACCUGACUGCUGUUCAGAGAAGAUUUGGGUGACAUGAAGUCAGUUAUCAACUCAAUGUAAUUUCUUUACUCAUUAAAAGAAUUUCACAGGGAAGGCAGGAUUGGGAGUUACUGGUAGUUGCCAGACAAUUUCAUGUUAGAAAUGAGAAGCUGUUUUUCAGAGGGGUAAUGCCCAUGCCUCUAGGGAAGCACAGACUGGUAUCAGUGCAGGUGUUCCACAGCUGAGGGCAUACAGAUUGGACUAGACAGUCCCCUCUGGCUUUAAAUCUACGCGUGUAUUUAGUACCUGAUUCUUUGGGCAUGGUUUCUGCUUGGUAAUUUUAUCGCCUCCUCCUAGGAAUUUCAGCCAGGAUAUACAGCAGGUAACAUCUGGUCUGCAAUUCCCCCAUGAUGUAUCAUAACAACAGGGGUUACUGGGCAGUCAAGUCAUGAAGUCUCAUUUUUCUGAGGAGACAAUAACUGUCAGUGCCACAUGGAAUCUUUGCUGCUUGGCUGGAUGCUGAGACAGUCCUGAGAGCCAGACAGAAAAUAAAGAGCUGAUGUUUGUACAGUUCCCAUCAUGAUCCCCACAGCAUUUCAGCCAUUUUCAAUACAGAAGAAAACACUCUUCAGGAUCAGAACUUCUGUCUUCUUUUUCUGUUGUGCUGAGAAGCAGACAGCUGGUGUCCUGUCUGGGUAAUAAAUGGAACCCAUGGAUAUGGUACAAUC